This 231-nucleotide ribosomal RNA is filed under the name uncultured bacterium. RNAcentral describes it as "partial 16S ribosomal RNA". It matches the Rfam family "Bacterial small subunit ribosomal RNA", at positions 524 to 753 of the family's 1533-position model. The record is from RNAcentral.
UACGGAGGGAGCUAGCGUUGUUCGGAAUUACUGGGCGUAAAGCGCACGUAGGCGGCUUUGUAAGUUAGAGGUGAAAGCCCGGGGCUCAACCCCGGAAUUGCCUUUAAGACUGCAUCGCUUGAAUCCAGGAGAGGUGAGUGGAAUUCCGAGUGUAGAGGUGAAAUUCGUAGAUAUUCGGAAGAACACCAGUGGCGAAGGCGGCUCACUGGACUGGUAUUGACGCGUGAGGUG